GUGCCUUCGGGAGCUCUGAGACAGGUGCUGCAUGGCUGUCGUCAGCUCGUGUUGUGAAAUGUUGGGUUAAGUCCCGCAACGAGCGCAACCCUUAUCCUUGUUUGCCAGCGAGUAAUGUCGGGAACUCCAGGGAGACUGCCGGUGAUAAACCGGAGGAAGGUGGGGACGACGUCAAGUCAUCAUGGCCCUUACGAGUAGGGCUACACACGUGCUACAAUGGCGCAUACAGAGGGCAGCAAGCUAGCGAUAGUGAGCGAAUCCCAAAAAGUGCGUCGUAGUCCGGAUUGGAGUCUGCAACUCGACUCCAUGAAGUCGGAAUCGCUAGUAAUCGUAGAUCAGAAUGCUACGGUGAAUACGUUCCCGGGCCUUGUACACACCGCCCGUCACACCAUGGGAGUGGGCUGCAAAAGAAGUGGGUAGUUUAACCUUUCGGGGAGGACGCUCACCACUUUGUGGUUCAUGACUGGGGUGAAGUCGUAACAAGGUAGCCCUAGGGGAACCUGGGGCUGGAUCACCUCCUUA
Molecule: ribosomal RNA, 522 nt
Filed under: Vibrio crassostreae
Lineage: Bacteria; Pseudomonadati; Pseudomonadota; Gammaproteobacteria; Vibrionales; Vibrionaceae
Description: bacterial SSU rRNA
Rfam family: Bacterial small subunit ribosomal RNA
Source: RNAcentral